RNAcentral lists this ribosomal RNA (27 nucleotides) under Helianthus annuus (common sunflower). The record is from RNAcentral. Lineage: Eukaryota; Viridiplantae; Streptophyta; Magnoliopsida; Asterales; Asteraceae.
CUGGGAAGUCCUNGUGUUGCAACCCCC